UGUACAAGAUAGUGGGAUACGGUGAAGCCC
RNAcentral lists this non-coding RNA (30 nucleotides) under Rattus norvegicus (Norway rat). The record is from RNAcentral. Lineage: Eukaryota; Metazoa; Chordata; Mammalia; Rodentia; Muridae.